Molecule: long non-coding RNA, 7148 nt
Filed under: Citrus maxima (pomelo)
Lineage: Eukaryota; Viridiplantae; Streptophyta; Magnoliopsida; Sapindales; Rutaceae
Description: long non-coding RNA (CMAX_LNC000494)
Source: RNAcentral
AACUCUGUUAUCGCAGCCACCACCCCAACUCUCAUACACUGGCCUUCCAUAGCACCAAUCAUACUGCCUCUCUCGCCCGUAGCCAAGCUGGUAACACGGUCCCCCACCACGCCCCUCAGAACAUUCCGUGCAACAUGCCCUAACAGGUGAGUAACACGGUCCACCACCACGCCCCUCGGAACAUUCCCUGCAACAUGCCCUAACAGGUGAGUAACACGGUCCCCCACCACGCCCCUCGGAACAUUCCCUGCAACAUGUCCUAAUUGGUGAGUAACACGGUCCCCCACCACGCCCCUCGGAACAUUCCCUGCAACAUGUCCUAACGGGUAGGUAACACGGAACGGGCUCCGGAGCCGGUGCCGGUGCCGGAGGCGGCGGUGGGGCUGGUGAUGGUUUUGGUUGGGGAGCCGGUGCCGGGGGUGGUGGCGAUGGUGAAGGUUUCGGUGGUGGUGGUGACGGUUUUGGUUCCGGAGCCGGUGCCGGCGGUGGUUUUGGUUUUGGCGGCGGCGGCGGCUUUGGCUUUGGUGGUUCCAGGAUUUCAAUAGUCUUGAUUGAACCAUCACCUUUGCAGCAUAGCUUGUCCCUGAUCUUUUCAGGACUGCAGCACACUACUUUUAUUGUCACCGUAUUCGUCUUCUCAUCGAAAAACUGUUCUUGUAUUUCUUUGGUCAAAAAGUUCAAACACAAUAUCUUAGCCCACCAUCCGCCAGCCAUUUUUUUAUUUGCAAACACAAAAUAAACAAUUCUACUUGCGCCUCACCAAAUGACACGCGAAUUCAGAAUUUUAUGCCAUUAUAAAACAUUUUACGAAACCAUAAUAUAUAAUAUAUGUAAAUGGACAUGGCCAGCGAUCAGAGAGACACUUACGUGGGAAUUUGCACAGUACUUUCUUGACUUUCUUGUAGCACUUUGAGCACUGAAGGUUAACCUUCAGCACCAUUAUUGUAACCUUCUGUAAACAAUAGUACACAGAUAAUACAAAAGUAUUUUUCAGCAGGCUAAUUAAUUAAAGAUAAAAGAGAGACAUUUAAUUAAUUUCUGACAUGAAAGAAUCAGCAAGGUAACUAUAUAUCUCCGUGUAUAUAUACACUAUAAGCUAUCAUCACGAAAGAUCGAUCGAUGCACAGCACAAACUUAACCAAAAGGGGAAUUACGAACCUUCUCUCCCAUAGCUGCUCGGAUCUGAACCUCAGGAAACCGGACACUGAUUAUUUGAAGCGUUAAUGUGACAGCAGGUAUGGAAAAGGGUCUUAUAAAUAAGUGCGCCAAUUUGAAACUUGUUUAAGAAGGGAAGGAAAAGUAAGGGCUUGAAUUCCGUACAUUAUACAUAACCAAUUAUCUGCCGACACGUCUUAUUGGAUGACGUCGAAUUUCAUGAUAUCAUCAAGGUUGUCGUUAUCUCCGUACAUAGUAAGUCUUUCUUCACAUUUAUGUAUGAUUGCUGACUCACCCAUUCUCCAUUGCAUUUGCAUGUGCUGCCUUUUGAUUGAUUGCCCUUUUCUCUGUUUUUCUUUUUUUUUUUUUGCUUUGCUUUUUUUUUUUCUUUUAUGUCUAAAGGAAAAUUUUUUGUCUUUCUCAUUUGAGCAAUAGUCAUAUUUCUUUACCUAAUUGAAAAUUAAAAAUAAAAAUAAAUAAGGGAAAAUGGACUUUAAUUGAACAACUGAUGUGAGAUCUAGGUAUAGAAAUUUACAUUCACCAACUCUUCCUAACCGUCAAAUUUGAUGCAUUUUUCGAACCCAGCACCUUGUGCCAUGGAUCGAGCAUUCAUUCUACAAACAGAGUAAUUGAUGAAAUAAUUUAAUCGAGCUAUUGGAAGUUUCACCAACCUAAAGUAAUCAUUGUCCUUAACCCAUAAACAAAGGGCCCAAUGAUCAAUUAAUAUAAGCUUUUGGAAGUUCAACCAAUCCCCGUAAGUAUACCUCCAACACUAAGGUAGCUAUUAUGGGCUUGUGGGACCCGCAUACUUAAUGCCUAAGUUAAGUGUCACAUCACUAAUUUAAUUUUAGAUUGGCCACACUCCAAGUAAUUAAAAAAGAUAAUGUUAUUAGUUUACCAGAAGCAGUUGUGACGCCUUGGCACCCACCUCCGCUUGGCCAUUUUAAAUUAAAUGUUGAUGCAGUCAUGGGGGAUGGUGGUGUGGGGGCCGUCGAUGGGUUAUCGGUUGCAAUUGAGGCAGGACUGACAUUGUUCAGAGAUUAUUUAAUUUUUAGCUUCGUGGUUUAUGUUGUCCAACGCUAUCUCACCAUUGUUAUUUAAGAUUAUUUUCUGAAACAUUAUCUCACCCAUAUUAUUGUUCAAAAAGAAAUUAAAGUAAAAAGCAGAUGGCCAAUUUAUCUCUUGUAUCAAUUCUUCUAUUCCUCUUCUUCAUUUAUGGUAAAAAUAACCAUUUUUCUUAAGUGUUUUAUGUAGCAUUUUUGUACUUAAUUUAUGCAAUGCUAUAAAAGAUCAAAUUUGAAUUUUAAAGAAUUAUUAUUAUUAUUAUUAUUAUUAUUAUUAUUAUUAUUAUUAUUUAUCAGGAACUGGGAAGAUAAUUGCCGAGACUCAGGAGAUAGAGCUCUGCAAGACAGCUAUUAUGUCCCAAAAAGAAUUUUGCUUUUGAAGCAUCACUUUCCCAAAAAGAAAUUCCAAAAAUUAUGUCUAAUUAAAAUCUUUUAGAAUCUCCCCAAGGUUUGAUUGCAUGGUUUUUAAACAGUUAUAAGCAGUUUUCAAGAAAUUGUUUUUUAUUAGUACUGAUUUGAACCUUAAGGAAGUUUGAGUUAAAAAAAUUGAUUUGGACUUAAUGGACUCCCUUAUCUUUAAAAGAAAAUGUAUCCUGCAGAAUUCGAAAGAAAUAAUUAAAAAAAAAUAAAACAAUGGAAUAAUUCAGAAAGAGAAAAUAAGAAGCACAUGUAAAAAGUAUUUUUCUAAUGAAUUUAUUUCAAUUUUUUGAUUUUAUAAAUAAAAACUCAAGGGUGAAAAAUUUUAAUGAGUAACGGUCGUUAAUGAAAAAUUUUAAUGAGUAAGGGUUGUUAUAUAUUUAACGAUGAAAUUAAAAGAAAAUAGUGUAAAUGAAAAAAAAAAAUAACAGAAGCGAUGAGAGUGAUUCUGAGAAGAGUUAGAGAUUAUUGUGGGUUGUCUAUGGUAUAGAGUAGGAAGAUUAAGUUAAAUAAAUUAGUUUGAUUUAUCUAAAUAAAUUAUUUCAUUAUAAAAUAGAAUUUACUCAUUGGUAAAGUACUGUAUAGAUGUUUUGGUUUUAUAUAAAUUUAUUAGAAGAGAUGAAUAUAAGGAGUAUUUUUAUCGAAUUCAAAAAGCUCAUAACUUUUCACUUGUAAUCAAUUUUUCUACCAUAAAUUUUUGUAUGAUUUUGGUCCCUAUGGGUAGAAGAAUUUAAAGGGGGCCAAAAUCAUAGAGGUAAACGUUUAGGGGUCAAAGUCUAAAAAGAGUAAAUUAUUUUGGUAAAAUGUCAAGAUAAAUUAAAGUUUCAGAGCCACCUCCCGCCUUUUUUUCAUUUAGCAAAAUAAUACUUUCAUGUAUUAUGCCGAGGUAGAUGUGAUGGACCUUUUUAAUAUUUAAAUUUUAUGAUAAAUAAUGAUGUGUCAUUUAUAAGAGAAAUUUUAUAAUAUAUUAGAGGUAGUACAUCAACUAAUACAUGUAUGACAUGUAUAUAUAGACUUGAUAUAACCUUUAUUUGCAUAAUAAUUUUUUAAAAUAAAUGUACAUAUAUUAUAAUAUAACUUGUUUAUUGUAUACCUGAUAUGAUACAUCUGAUUUAUUUUAGAAUUUUUCAUGUGAUUAAAAUUUUUUAUAAAGUUCUAAAUAAAUUAUUUUAUACCUGACAUUACUAUUGAAGAAUAUAUUGACAGAUAUUGUGGAAUAUUUAUAUGUAACUUAUUAGAAUUUAUACAAAAAUUGCAUAUAAAAUUACGAGAGCUUCUGUUCACUUUAAAUUAAUCAAUCUAACAAGAAUUUAAUUAAGGCUUCAUGCAUAUAACAAAGGCGAAGUGUAAGUUGUAAAAAGGCCAAAAAAAAAAUGUAUUGACAAUUUUCCAUUCUAGAUUCUAAAUUUCAAUAAACAUCUAAUUUAUCAACAAGCAUGUUCGUUCUUUUUAUGAUUGAAUGUUGAAAUAAACAGUGUAAGAUCCAUCUCUUAUGCUUGGUAAUGGCACCAAAAGAAAACUCCUCUUUGCUCCCUUUGCAACAAAGCGGAUAGGAUGAUAAUUCUUUUUCCAUUGCGAAGCAAACUACACUGUUAUAUCCAAACUCUGUUGACACUGAAUUGCAACUGACCUUCAUGCUUUCGCCCGAUUUCAAGUUAACACUAGUAGAAACGAAGCAACCCUUUUGGGUUACUGACUCCAAGGCUACUGUUUCAGCCUUUCCAUCCCAUCCGGUAACAAGGCGAAAAAUGGAGGAGCCAUGAACACUAGAAGAGUCUGCGACAACAAGUUCAUCAUCUGUUCCUUGCACUACAAGCAUUCCUGGGGAAGCAAAUAGUUCUAGCAUGACUGAUCUGCCAAUUGCAUCGCUGAGGGAUGAAAAUUCGGAGGAAGGUUUAUCGUUUAAGAUGAAUCUUAAAGUGGCUUGAAGGGCAAUGUCAGUGCCAGAUUUAGGGGAUUCUGCCAUUGGAAUAGAUUGUCAAGACAAAAGUCGAGUUUCUGGAAACUUUGGAAAAUGUGACCAGCUGAAAUUAUAUGAUGCAGGAAUUGGAGCAACAACUUCUGAAAGAGAUGUUGCUGAUUCAGUCCUGAUAUCGGAGUCCCCAUUGCUGUAGCUCGUAGGCAGAUAAGACCGUGGUGAAUGGCCGAUCAGCUGAAGAAGAAAAAAGAUUUUCAGUCAAAGAUUUUUCAUUGAUAACAGAAAUUGUAAACAAAACAGUUCAUGAAGAUUCCAUCGAUAGGCUCUGUCCUUAGAAUAAGGGGCAGCUGAAUGGUUAAUUUGUCAUCAUAUGUCCAUGCUGUGGUGAUACUUGGAAAUUUCGUGCAUCGGGAAUGUAACUGUUUGUUACAUGUCUUUAUAAAAGAUGAAACCCCACUUUUAAUUUUUCUAUCUGAAAUAAAAAAUUGAAAAACAAUCAAAGAUAUUAUAAUUCAGCACCUGCCGAUGGUAGAGGCAAAUCCUGGCCAUUUAAUGUUGCCUUUGCUCCAUUAGUAUUUGUCCACCUCGAUAUUCUGAAACCAAAGGAUAGUGAUCGAGCUGCUCCCUGGAUAUACAUCAAAUCCAGAAUGUGUGAUGGAUGAACUUCUCAUUACAAUGUUAAAAAAUAAACACCAAGUUUGAUAGCCAGUACCUUAGGAAGAAAUGUGAAUGUGAUAUGACGAUAAGGAUCUGAAGAAACAACAGGAUCAACUUUCUGGUUGGGCAGAAUAUGUCCAGAUUUCCAAUCAAGUGAGCUCGAUAUGUACCGAAUGAUGUAAAGACCAGGAUAUAAUCCUUCCUCUUCAAAGUAAAUUGAAUAUCCCAACUUUGCGAAUGACUUAAUUCCUCCAUGGGAAACAAGAAUAAAAUCUAGUAUACCAAUUGGCGGAAACUGUGCAAAUUUAGAAAGCAACUCAUGAGAUUCAAGAACAUUGAGAGUAAAGAGAAAAAAUGGGCAAUGAAUACCAGACAUGUGCCAUAACAGCACCAGAAUGAAUUUAAUUAAUGCGUAAACAAAUUUUAUUCAACUUUAUUUCUAAUCCAGUCAUUAACAUUCUUAUAGCAAUUUAACUCUAAGAUUUACCUAACACAUACGACUACUUUUAAAACUCACGACACUUUUUAAAAUAAAUUUUACUAAAUGUUUAAUUGAUUCUCUUUACAGUUGAAUAUAUUUAUAAUACAGCUAACAAUAAUUAUUUUAAAAAAUACAUCAUUACCAAAUAGGCCGCCAAUAAUUGGAAAACUAAUUGUAGCAUUAACAAACUCUACAUUCACCAACCUUUAUUUAUCUUUGAUUUUCCUAUAGAGUCUAUAUUACCCAAAAUGUUAAAGAUUAAACCAGCAUACAAGAAGCAACUAGAAGAAAGUAAACGAUAUGAUCACUGACGAUUACCAUUCAUGAUCAUUGAUUUAUGAGAUUGUGCAAGACAGUGGUGGAUUUCCUUCACAGGUGGAAUCUAACGACCACGGGUGCAAAUGAACAGCGACCACAAGUGCAAUAUGAACAGCGACCACAAGUGCAAUCUGACCAGCGACCUCUCCAAUAAACUCUAUUAUGGCAGCUACCACCCCAGCUCUCAUACACUAGUCUUGCAUAGAUCACAAUGCCUCUCUUGCCCCAAGCCAAGCUGGUGACACGGUCCCCAACCAUGACCCUCAGAACAUUGCUUGCAACAUACCCUAACCGAUGUGUAACACGGCACUGGCACCAGGGGUGGUAGUGGUGGUUUUGGGUUUUCCCCAUCCGGUUGUGGCGGGUUUUUUUUUAUCCCCAUCCGGUUGUGGUGGUUUUUUGUUAUCCCCAUUCGGUUGUGGCGGGUUUUUUUUAUCCCCAUCCGGUUGUGGCGGUUUUUUGUUAUCCCCAUCCAGUUGUGGUGGUCUAGGGUUAGGCUUUUUAUCAGGUUCCAGGAUUUCAAUAGUCUUGAUUGAACCAUCACCUUUGCAGCAUAGCUUGUCCCUGGUCUUUCAGGACUGCAGCACACUACUUUUAUUGUCACCGUAUUUGUCUUCUCAUCGAAAAACUUUUCUUGUAUUUCUUUGGUCAAAAAGUUCAAACACAAUAUCUUAGCCCACCAUCCGUCAGCCAUUUUUAUUAUUUACAGACACAAAAUAAACAAUUCUACUUGCGCCUCACCAAAUAACACGCGAAUUCAGAAUUUUAUGUCAUUAUAAAACAUUUUACGAAACCAUAAUAUAUAAUAUAUGUAAAUGGACAUGGCCAGCGAUCAGAGAGACACUUACGUGGGAAUUUGCACAGUACUUUCUUGACUUUCUUGUAGCACUUUGAGCACUGAAGGUUAACCUUCAGCACCAUUAUUGUAACCUUCUGUAAGCAAUAGUACACAGAUAAUACAGAAGUAUUUUUCAGCAGGCUAAUUAAUUAAACAUAAAAAGGGGGACAUUUAAUUAAUUUCUGACAUGAAAGAAUCAGCAAGGUGACUAUAUAUCUGUGUGUGUAUAUACACUAUAAGCUAUCAUCACGAAAGAUCGAUCGAUGCACAGCACAAACUUAACCAAAAGGGGAAUUACAA